This 77-nucleotide transfer RNA is filed under the name Gammaproteobacteria bacterium. Its description in RNAcentral is "tRNA-Arg". It matches the Rfam family "tRNA". From Rfam's summary of the family: Transfer RNA (tRNA) molecules are approximately 80 nucleotides in length. Their secondary structure includes four short double-helical elements and three loops (D, anti-codon, and T loops). The record is from RNAcentral. RNAcentral also lists the same sequence under 8 other names. Lineage: Bacteria; Pseudomonadati; Pseudomonadota; Gammaproteobacteria.
GCGCCCGUAGCUCAGUUGGAUAGAGUACUGCCCUCCGAAGGCAGGGGUCACAGGUUCGAAUCCUGUCGGGCGCGCCA